Columba livia (rock pigeon) is the source of this 480-nucleotide long non-coding RNA. RefSeq lists it as uncharacterized. Lineage: Eukaryota; Metazoa; Chordata; Aves; Columbiformes; Columbidae. The transcript is spliced from 3 exons. The record is from RefSeq and is a predicted model, not a curated record.
UCUUGGAGUUCUUUGGCUGUGGAGACAUCAGCAAGGAUAGAAAUUUCCUGUAAACUAAAUUUUUACUCCCCGUACUUGAGCCUAUUUUCUUUGUUUUGAGUGGGAAGACGCUGCAGGAGUUGCACGAUUUCAUAAUCUUUUAUCCUCCUUUCCCAAAAGCAACUUCUUUUGUAGGUCUAAAAGUUCUAGAGAAAAGGUUGGUGGGGAAAGAUGCAUUCUUCAGUCUUACUGACUGCAGUAUAACCAUAAGAUUACAUAAGCUCACACAAGCUCACCAUGGCAGUGACGAUCAUGUAAGAUCAUCAUGGCAGUGGACAUCUCUCUCUGAUGAACCUCAGCCUCAGAAAUAAAAAUUGCAGCUGGAGAUGUGACAUCUUUGAAUCUCUCCAUCAGAAGAAAAGGAGGAAGCUAUUUCACAAAAUACUGACCAGCACCACUCCCACUCAGAAUAUUGUUCUGCAACAAGAAGAGGAGAGUAGG